AUUGAACGCUGGCGGCAGGCCUAACACAUGCAAGUCGAGCGGAUGAAGGGAGCUUGCUCCUGGAUUCAGCGGCGGACGGGUGAGUAAUGCCUAGGAAUCUGCCUGGUAGUGGGGGAUAACGUCCGGACACGGGCGCUAAUACCGCAUACGUCCUGAGGGAGAAAGUGGGGGAUCUUCGGACAUCACGCUAUCAGAUGAGCCUAGGUCCGAUUAGCUAGUUGGUGGGGUAAAGGCCUACCAAGGCGACGAUCCGUAACUGGUCUGAGAGGAUGAUCAGUCACACUUGAACUGAGACACGCUCCAAACUCCUACGGGAAGCAGCAGUGGAGAAUAUUGGACAAAGGGCGAAAGCCUGAUCCAGCCAUGCCGCGUGUGUGAAGAAGGUCUUCGGAUUGUAAAGCACUUUAAGUUGGGAGAAAGGGAAGUAAGUUAAUACCUUGCUGUUUUGACGUUACCAACAGAAUAAGCACCGGCUAACUUCGU
Molecule: ribosomal RNA, 483 nt
Filed under: uncultured bacterium
Lineage: Bacteria
Description: partial 16S ribosomal RNA
Rfam family: Bacterial small subunit ribosomal RNA
Source: RNAcentral